GGGGCGGUGGCGGAAUGGCAGACGCUGCGGACUUAAAAUCCGCUGGAGGCAACUCCAUGAGGGUUCGACUCCCUCCCGCCCUA
Molecule: transfer RNA, 83 nt
Filed under: Anaerolineae bacterium
Lineage: Bacteria; Bacillati; Chloroflexota; Anaerolineae
Description: tRNA-Leu
Rfam family: tRNA
About the family: Transfer RNA (tRNA) molecules are approximately 80 nucleotides in length. Their secondary structure includes four short double-helical elements and three loops (D, anti-codon, and T loops).
Source: RNAcentral